ACAAAGGCUCUUUUAAGAGCCACCACAUGGUCUUGGAAAAGAGCUCG
This 47-nucleotide non-coding RNA is filed under the name Podarcis lilfordi (Lilford's wall lizard). It matches the Rfam family "Histone 3' UTR stem-loop". Rfam says of the family: The mRNAs of metazoan histone genes lack a poly-A tail. 3' end processing occurs at a site between a highly conserved stem-loop (modelled by this family) and a purine rich region around 20 nts downstream (the histone downstream element, or HDE). Lineage: Eukaryota; Metazoa; Chordata; Lepidosauria; Squamata; Lacertidae. The record is from RNAcentral.